Molecule: ribosomal RNA, 405 nt
Filed under: uncultured bacterium
Lineage: Bacteria
Description: partial 16S ribosomal RNA
Rfam family: Bacterial small subunit ribosomal RNA
Source: RNAcentral
AUUGAACGCUGGCGGCAGGCCUAACACAUGCAAGUCGAGCGAGCGGCGGACGGGUGAGUAAUGUCUGGGAAACUGCCUGAUGGAGGGGGAUAACUACUGGAAACGGUAGCUAAUACCGCAUACCAUCAGAUGUGCCCAGAUGGGAUUAGCUAGUAGGUGGGGUAACGGCUCACCUAGGCGACGAUCCCUAGCUGGUCUGAGAGGAUGACCAGCCAACCUGGAACGGGGAAACGGCCCGGACUCCUACGGGAGCAAGAAGUGGGGAAUAUUGAACAAUGGGCGCAGGCCGAAUGAAGCCAUGCGGGGGGUUGGAAGAGGGCCUUCGGGUGUAAAGCACUUUCAGCGGGGAGGCGUUACCCGCAGAAGAAGCACCGGCUAACUCCGUGCCAGCAGCCGCGGUAAUAC